RNAcentral lists this ribosomal RNA (279 nucleotides) under uncultured bacterium. Its description in RNAcentral is "partial 16S ribosomal RNA". It matches the Rfam family "Bacterial small subunit ribosomal RNA", at positions 506 to 784 of the family's 1533-position model. The record is from RNAcentral.
UGCCAGCCGCCGCGGUAAUACGGAGGGGGUUAGCGUUGUUCGGAAUUACUGGGCGUAAAGCGCACGUAGGCGGAUUAGUAAGUUAGGGGUGAAAUCCCGGGGCUCAACCCCGGAAGUGCACUUGAAACAGCAAGACUUGAAUACGGUAGAGGAGAGAGGAAUUCCUGGUGUAGAGGUGAAAUUCGUAGAUAUCAGGAGGAACACCGAUGGCGAAGGCAUCUCUCUGGGCCGAUAUUGACACUGAGGAGCGAAAGCAUGGGUAGCGAAGAGGAUUAGAUA